Molecule: ribosomal RNA, 512 nt
Filed under: uncultured bacterium
Lineage: Bacteria
Description: partial 16S ribosomal RNA
Rfam family: Bacterial small subunit ribosomal RNA
Source: RNAcentral
GAUGAACGCUGGCGGCGUGCCUAAUACAUGCAAGUCGAGCGAACAGACGAGGAGCUUGCUCCUCUGACGUUAGCGGUGGACGGGUGAGUAACACGUGGAUAACCUACCUAUAAGACUGGGAUAACUUCGGGAAACCGGAGCUAAAACCGGAUAACAUGUUGAACCGCAUGGUUCAACAGUGAAAGACGGUCUUGCUGUCACUUAUAGAUGGAUCCGCGCCGCAUUAGCUAGUUGGUAAGGUAACGGCUUACCAAGGCAACGAUGCGUAGCCGACCUGAGAGGGUGAUCGGCCACACUGGAACUGAGACACGGGCCAGACUCCUACGGGAGGCAGCAGUAGGGAAUCUUCCGCAAUGGGCGAAAGCCUGACGGAGCAACGCCGCGUGAGUGAAGAAGGUCUUCGGAUCGUAAACUCUGUUAUUAGGGAAGAACAAAUGUGUAAGUAACUAUGCACGUCUUGACGGUACCUAAUCAGAAAGCCACGGCUAACUACGUGCCAGCCGCCGCCGUAA